This 433-nucleotide ribosomal RNA is filed under the name uncultured bacterium. RNAcentral describes it as "partial 16S ribosomal RNA". It matches the Rfam family "Bacterial small subunit ribosomal RNA", at positions 29 to 507 of the family's 1533-position model. The record is from RNAcentral.
AACGAACGCUGGCGGCAUGCCUAACACAUGCAAGUCGAACGAGACCUUCGGGUCUAGUGGCGCACGGGUGCGUAACGCGUGGGAACCUGCCCUUAGGUUCGGAAUAACUCCCCGAAAGGGGUGCUAAUACCGGAUAAUGUCUUCGGACCAAAGAUUUAUCGCCUUUGGAUGGGCCCGCGUUGGAUUAGCUAGUUGGUAGGGUAAAAGCCUACCAAGGCGACGAUUCAUAGCUGGUCUGAGAGGAUGAUCAGCAACACUGGGACUUAGACACGGCCCAGACUCCUACGGGAGGCAGCAGUGGGGAAUAUUGGACCAUGGGCGAAAGCCUGAUCCAGCAAUGCCGCGUGAGUGAUGAAGGCCUUAGGGUUGUAAAGCUCUUUUACCCGGGAUGAUAAUGACAGUACCGGGAGAAUAAGCUCCGGCUAACUCCGUG